NNNGCGUGUGUGCGGGGCCUGGGUGCCUGAGCCUGUGCGUGUGUGUGUCUGUGUGUGUCUGUGUGCGCGCGUGUGCGCGCGGGUUGGCGAGGGCGCGUGUGCGCGUGUCUGCGCUCUGGGCCGCUCGGCGCGCUCGGCAAUCGAUUACAGGACAAGUGCUGCCCGGCGGCUCCGCGACGCGCGCACUCCCUCGCGCCCACCCGCGCGCCCGGCCGCGUCGUCCCCGGCCCUGCGGCCCCCCAGACGGCCGACCCCGCCCCCAAGGGGGGGGGACCAGGUAACCUGCUUCCGAGACUGCCAUGGCGACACCCCACCCGCUCCCCCCAAGUCUCAAUCAAUCUCACGUUUUCUGCCGGCUGGGAAGGAAGGAUUGGAGCGGUGAGGGGAGGUUCAUUUCGGCCGCUUGAAGUUUUCUUUCCAACUGGGAUUUGUGGCGAGGCCGGGCGGAGGGAGCGGGACGACGACCCGGGCGCCCGACGCGGAGCUCAGGCAUCGGCGUCCUGGCCGGAGCCGGGGUGUGCGCCUGGACCCACCCACUCAGGCUUCGCAAUAAACUGUGCGGUGCAAUUCAGAAAACGGCACCGGGGAGUCCAGGACGCGAAUCAGGAUGAAUUGAGGGAAUGAAUUGAGAAGGAAAUUCAGGUCUGAGAUGAAGCUCAACUAUUUUGAAAGUGCUUUGCAGUGCAAGUUUAAAAUUAGAGUGUUGACUUGCUUUUACUCCCCAGGGCUUGUGCCGCAUUCACCAAAGUCAAAGGAGCGGGUGAGGGUCCAAAAAGUUGGUCCGGGGGAAGUGUCGCCGUCACUACCAGAUCAUGGUAUGUCCAACUCACCCCAAAGAAAUCAAGGUUAUGUUUACAUACUAAACCAGGGGUUCUAUUUCAUCCUCUGCAGUCGAAUAAUCCUGGCUCUGAGACUCACAAUUGUACAUGUAGAAAGGAACCUUUGUAUAAACUUUAGUAAUUCACUGCGUUCACAGUUUUUCUCUACAGUAUUUUUAUAGUGGUUAGAGGAUGUAUUUAUUUCCAUCCUUUGCUGUAACUACUCUACACACAUUUUAAAAGUACGUAUAUGGUUAUACUAUGAGUAAAAAUGUAUCACUAGGGAAGUGCAGUACCAUAUAAAUAUUCACUUUGGGGGAUUAGCGAGGCGGUGGGAGAAAACAUACCCACACCCACCAUUUUUCAAAUAGCUGCUUCUUUCUCAUUUCUUUUUGUCCCAUCCCACCGAAACUGUGCCUACCCAGCGCCAACCCUUAUCUUAGCUUUUUGCACAUUUCUUUCAUUAUACAACUUGUAAAUUUUUUUAUUUGUUGAGAUUUAAAAGAAAAUAUGUCUCCCCCCCAACUAGAAUGUCAUCUUUUUAAGAGCAGAGAUUAUGUCUGUCCUGCUAACAAUUGUUUUCUCAGAACUAGCACAGUGUUUGGCACAUCAGUCCUCAAUAAACUUUUACUAAAUGGAUGAAUGUAGAGCUAAUCACAUAUUCACCUAGCUUUGUGUGUUAAACUGUUUUUAAGGGACAAAAAGUGUAGGAUAACAAAGAUAUAUUCUAAUUCCAUAAAGAUUUUGGUCAAGUCUUGACUCAUGAGUAAUGUUACCAACAUCAUUAACAGGUCAACUCUCUGGCUUAUGUUCAUGUGAAGAAUGUGAAUACGUUCAUAGAUAAUAUAACUUUUAUAAAUAUAAAGAGAAAGAGGGGUUAAAAUUGCGUAUCAAAUAUAAUUUUGUGUAAAAUGCCUUUAUGUUACCGCUCUGUUUCAUAAACAAAUUAUUUCAUGUUAAUGCCUGGUAAUUUAUAAACUAGGUUCACAAAGAAUGCAACAAUUUAUUCUGUAAUUGCUAAAUGCAAUUAGCAAAAGAAACUUUUUAAAAGGCAGUGUAGGUAAAAGGUACAUUAUGAAGUAUUUGUUUUCGUUCGAUGGCAUGUUUCAUCUGUGUUAGAUUUAAAAUCCCUAGUACCUUUUAAAGAAAUUUUAAUAAAAGUGAAUUUAACAAAAAUUUGUUCAAGGAAUUCAUUCCAUGUUUUUAACUUUUG
RNAcentral lists this long non-coding RNA (2031 nucleotides) under Mustela putorius furo (domestic ferret). Its description in RNAcentral is "lncRNA (ENSMPUG00000029667.1)". The record is from RNAcentral. Lineage: Eukaryota; Metazoa; Chordata; Mammalia; Carnivora; Mustelidae.